GACGAACGCUGGCGGCGUGCCUAAUACAUGCAAGUCGAGCGAACGGACGAGAAGCUUGCUUCUCUGAUGUUAGCGGCGGACGGGCGAGUAACACGUGGAUAACCUACCUAUAAGACUGGGAUAACUUCGGGAAACCGUAGCUAAUACCGGAUAAUAUUUUGAACCGCAUGGUUCAAAAAUGAAAGACGGUCUUGCUGUCACUUAUAGAUGUAUCCGCGCUUCUUUAGCUAGUUGGUAAGGUAACGGCUUAUCAAGUCUACGAUGCAUAGCCGACCUAAUAGAGUGAUCGGCCAUCCCAGAACUGAGACACCGUCCAGACUCCUACGGCAGGCAGCAGUAGGGAAUCUUCCGCAGUAGGAGGAAGCAUGCCGGAGCAACGCCGCGUGAGUGAUGCAGGGCUUAGGAGCGUAAAACUCUGUUAUUAGGGAAGACCAUAUGUGUAAGUAACUGUGCACAUCUUGGCGGUACCUAACCAGAAAGCCAAGGCUAACUACGUG
RNAcentral lists this ribosomal RNA (497 nucleotides) under uncultured bacterium. Its description in RNAcentral is "partial 16S ribosomal RNA". It matches the Rfam family "Bacterial small subunit ribosomal RNA", at positions 28 to 507 of the family's 1533-position model. The record is from RNAcentral.